UUAAUAGAAGCUAAUAAAGCUUCUUAUUGUUAUUAAGAAAAUUGAAUAUUUUUAUUCCUAUUAAG
Molecule: transfer RNA, 65 nt
Filed under: Austrodecus sp. JZ-2022
Lineage: Eukaryota; Metazoa; Arthropoda; Pycnogonida; Pantopoda; Austrodecidae
Description: tRNA-Asn
Source: RNAcentral